This 76-nucleotide transfer RNA is filed under the name Candidatus Kentrum sp. SD. RNAcentral's name for it is "Candidatus Kentron sp. SD tRNA_Lys_TTT". It matches the Rfam family "tRNA". Rfam says of the family: Transfer RNA (tRNA) molecules are approximately 80 nucleotides in length. The record is from RNAcentral. Lineage: Bacteria; Pseudomonadati; Pseudomonadota; Gammaproteobacteria.
GGGCCGUUAGCUCAGUUGGUAGAGCACCGGACUUUUAAUCCGUUGGUCGAAGGUUCGAAUCCUUCACGGCCCACCA